This is a long non-coding RNA of Hordeum vulgare subsp. vulgare (domesticated barley), 443 nucleotides long. RefSeq lists it as uncharacterized. The record is from RefSeq and is a predicted model, not a curated record. The transcript has 2 exons. Lineage: Eukaryota; Viridiplantae; Streptophyta; Magnoliopsida; Poales; Poaceae.
GGUGCUCCUUCUUCGUCGACACCGAUUGUGAGCCUGGUGUUCAACUCCAUCACGCCGCAAUCCCUUGCGGGUACUGGAACCCUCUCAUCAAAGGUGUGCUAGCUUGUAUCGGCAUGGAGGAUGUGUCACUGGCAUCCGCUCGUUAGGCCUCGAGACCGGGACCGGCUACAGCGCUACCUUGACGCGUUGAUGGUGGCCGCCCGACGGCUCUCCUCUACCUCGCUUGCUACUUAGCUUGUCCCUGUGAUGGCUUUUUUUGUUUCUUCUCCUUUCUCGGGCUGAAUUGUGCUGUUGCCCCAGCGGACCCUCUUUUUUAUUUCUUUGUUGGGAUAUGAUGUAUGGAUUCUGGUCUAUGUGCUUAUAUAUAAAGCGGGGCGAAAGCCUGUUUCGAGAUUGGGGGCUUUAGUUGCUAAGUCCCUUAAUGUGCUUAGCACCUUAUCUUA